RNAcentral lists this ribosomal RNA (636 nucleotides) under uncultured marine eukaryote. RNAcentral's name for it is "SSU rRNA". It matches the Rfam family "Eukaryotic small subunit ribosomal RNA", at positions 621 to 1261 of the family's 1831-position model. The record is from RNAcentral.
AAAAAGCUCGUAGUUGGAUUUCUGUCAGAAACUCUCGGUCCACGCUUUGCGUGAGUAUCUGAGUAGGUUCCGGCAUCCUCUAGAGGAUCGUUUCUGCGCUUGAUUGCGUGGAGCGGAACUCUAGACUUUUACUUUGAGGAAAUUAGAGUGUUCACGGCAGGCAAACGCCUUGAAUACAUUAGCAUGGAAUAAUAACAUAGGGCCUUGGUUCUAUUUUGUUGGUUUCUAGAGCUGAGGUAAUGAUUAAUAGGGAUAAUUGGGGGCAUUUGUAUUAACGCGUCAGAGGUGGAAUUCUUGGAUUGCGUUACGACAAACUACUGCGAAAGCAUUUGCCAAGGAUGUUUUCAUUGAUCAAGAACGAAAGUAUGGGGAUCGAAGAUGAUUAGAUACCGUCGUAGUCUAUACCAUAAACUAUGCCGACUAGAGAUUGGAGGUCGUCCUUAUAUUGACUCCUUCAGCACCUUAUGAGAAAUCAAAGUCUUUGGGUUCCGGGGGGAGUAUGGUCGCAAGGCUGAAACUUAAAGGAAUUGACGGAAAGGCACCACCACGAGUGGAGCCUGCGGCUUAGUUGGACUCAACACGGGAAAACUCACCAGGUCCAGACACAGUAAGGAUUGACAGAUUGAGAGCUCUUCC